This 22-nucleotide transfer RNA is filed under the name Epiplatys duboisi. RNAcentral describes it as "partial tRNA-Glu". Lineage: Eukaryota; Metazoa; Chordata; Actinopteri; Cyprinodontiformes; Nothobranchiidae. The record is from RNAcentral.
AAGGAAUUUCUGUAGUUGAAUA